AGAGCGAACGCUGGCGGCAGGCCUAACACAUGCAAGUCGAACGGACCCUUCGGGGUUAGUGGCGGACGGGUGAGUAACACGUGGGAACGUGCCUUUUGGUUCGGAAUAGCUCCUGGAAACGGGUGGUAAUGCCGAAUGUGCCCUUCGGGGGGAAAGAUUUAUCGCCAUUAGAGCGGCCCGCGUCUGAUUAGCUAGUUGGUGAGGUAAUGGCUCACCAAGGCGACGAUCAGUAGCUGGUCUGAGAGGACGACCAGCCACAUUGGGACUGAGACACGGCCCAAACUCCUACGGGAGGCAGCAGUGGGGAAUCUUGCGCAAUGGGCAAAGCCUGACGCAGCCAUGCCGCGUGAAUGAUGAAGGUCUUAGGAUUGUAAAAUUCUUUCACCGGGACGAUAAUGACGGUACCCGAGAAGAAGCCCCGGCUAACUUCGUGACCAGCAGCCCG
Molecule: ribosomal RNA, 445 nt
Filed under: uncultured soil bacterium
Lineage: Bacteria
Description: bacterial SSU rRNA
Rfam family: Bacterial small subunit ribosomal RNA
Source: RNAcentral